CAUUCAAUCACCACCACCACCUCAUACAACCUUCACCUUUAUCACCUCUUCCUCUAAUUCAAUCUCAAUCUCUCUCUAGCUUUAUUCUCACAAUCUCAAAGAACCCACCAACAUAUCGACAACAAGCCCAGCUCUCUUUGCCUUUUCUUUACAUGUCAUUCUCAACGACAGUGAAAAAAACUAAAUCCCCCAACCCAUCUCAAUCGGCGUCGUCGGCAAGCCUUCACAACGCGGAGAACGAGAUUGAGAUCCUCUCCAGAGUUCACAACACAGGAUUGUGAUUCUGCGCAAAUUCGGUAGUCGACGACCCACGGUCACCUAGUUCUGAAGCCUACCACUCGUCAUCCCAAGCAAACAAUUUCUGAGGAUAUUUCUAGACUGACCAUCGACCCCCAAAAGAGUAACAGCAGCUCCCAGUCCUCAGAAACGAGUUCCAAUUUUGGUGCUGUUCUCCAGCCCAAGAAGGAGAGAGGUAAGAAGAAAACGAAGGGCAGAAGCAGCAAUUUCUUCAGCAUUACUGACAAUAAAAUUGAGGGGAUCAGAGCUAAGCGGGUAGGAAUUUUCCAGUUUGGUAACACCCACGUCCAUGAAGGCCACCAGAAAGAAAUACAAGUCGACUCCAGUAGUGGAGAAACCGACUCCGCCUCCAGUGAAGAAGAAGAGUAAGCUGAUGACUCGCUGAGGUCUGUAGAUAGCUUAGUCUCCUUUUUAAUUAUGCAAUAUUUGAUAUUUUAAGUAAUCUCCUUUUUAAUUAUGCAAUAUUUGAUAUUUUCAGUAAUUUUAUUGCGUUAUCUUCCACAUUA
This is a long non-coding RNA of Prunus dulcis (almond), 803 nucleotides long. RefSeq lists it as uncharacterized. The record is from RefSeq and is a predicted model, not a curated record. The transcript has 2 exons. Lineage: Eukaryota; Viridiplantae; Streptophyta; Magnoliopsida; Rosales; Rosaceae.